GAGGAUAUAGCUCAGGGGUAGAGCACGUGCUUAGCAUGCAUGAAGUCCUGGGUUCAAUCCCCCAUACCUCCA
Camelus ferus (Wild Bactrian camel) is the source of this 72-nucleotide transfer RNA. It matches the Rfam family "tRNA". Rfam says of the family: Transfer RNA (tRNA) molecules are approximately 80 nucleotides in length. Their secondary structure includes four short double-helical elements and three loops (D, anti-codon, and T loops). The record is from Rfam. NCBI's taxonomy places the organism in Eukaryota, Metazoa, Chordata, Mammalia, Artiodactyla, Camelidae.